GAUGAACGCUGGCGGCGUGCCUAAUACAUGCAAGUCGAGCGAACAGACGAGGAGCUUGCUCCUCUGACGUUAGCGGCGGACGGGUGAGUAACACGUGGAUAACCUACCUAUAAGACUGGGAUAACUUCGGGAAACCGGAGCUAAUACCGGAUAAUAUAUUGAACCGCAUGGUUCAAUAGUGAAAGACGGUUUUGCUGUCACUUAUAGAUGGAUCCGCGCCGCAUUAGCUAGUUGGUAAGGUAACGGCUUACCAAGGCAACGAUGCGUAGCCGACCUGAGAGGGGGGUCGGCCACACUGGAACUGAGACACGGUCCAUACUCCUGCGGUAGGCACCAGUAGGGAAUCUUCCGCAAUGGGGGAGAGCUUGACGGAGCAACGCCGCGUGAGUGAUGAAGGUCUUCGGAUCGUAAAGCUCUGUUAUUAGGGAAGAACAAAUGUGUAAGUAACUAUGCACGUCUUGACGGUACCUAAUCAGAAAGCCACGGCUAACUACGUG
This 497-nucleotide ribosomal RNA is filed under the name uncultured bacterium. RNAcentral describes it as "partial 16S ribosomal RNA". It matches the Rfam family "Bacterial small subunit ribosomal RNA", at positions 28 to 507 of the family's 1533-position model. The record is from RNAcentral.